RNAcentral lists this ribosomal RNA (402 nucleotides) under uncultured prokaryote. RNAcentral's name for it is "bacterial SSU rRNA". It matches the Rfam family "Bacterial small subunit ribosomal RNA", at positions 355 to 774 of the family's 1533-position model. The record is from RNAcentral.
UGGGGAAUAUUGGACAAUGGGGGCAACCCUGAUCCAGCAAUGCCGCGUGAGUGAUGAAGGCCUUAGGGUUGUAAAGCUCUUUCGCACGCGACGAUGAUGACGGUAGCGUGAGAAGAAGCCCCGGCUAACUUCGCGCCAGCAGCCGCGGUAAUACGAAGGGGGCGAGCGUUGUUCGGAAUUACUGUGCGUAAAGGGCGCGUAGGCGGCCCGAUCAGUCAGAUGUGAAAGCCCCGGGCUCAACCUGGGAACUGCAUUUGAUACUGUCGGGCUUGAGUUCCGGAGAGGAUGGUGGAAUUCCCAGUGUAGAGGUGAAAUUCGUAGAUAUUGGGAAGAACACCGGUGGCGAAGGCGGCCAUCUGGACGGACACUGACGCUGAGGCGCGAAAGCGUGGGGAGCAAAUA